AGAUUGAACGCUGGCGGAAUGCUUUACACAUGCAAGUCGAACGGCAGCACGGGACUCAGGCAACUGAGCCCUGGUGGCGAGUGGCGAACGGGUGAGUAACAUAUCGGAACGUACCCAGUCGUGGGGGAUAACUCUCCGAAAGGAGAGCUAAUACCGCAUACGUCCUGAGGGAGAAAGCGGGGGACCUAAGGGUAACUGAGGGCCUCGCGCGAUUGGAGCGGCCGAUAUCGGAUUAGCUAGUUGGUGAGGUAAAGGCUCACCAAGGCGACGAUCCGUAGCGGGUCUGAGAGGACGACCCGCCACACUGGAACUGAGACAGGUCCAGACUCCUACGGGA
This 337-nucleotide ribosomal RNA is filed under the name uncultured soil bacterium. RNAcentral describes it as "bacterial SSU rRNA". It matches the Rfam family "Bacterial small subunit ribosomal RNA", at positions 26 to 346 of the family's 1533-position model. The record is from RNAcentral.